UUUUGCUUUAAAGCAAAGAAAAAAAGGUUAAACAAAAAACCCACAAUUGAACUUUCAGGAAAGUGUGAAGACCCAAAACAGCUUUGUCUCCAAAGAAGAUAGCUCUCUGACUGCUAUGGAUAGUCUCCUACACUUCAUUUUUGUCAGAGCCAGAAUGAGAUGCAAGCAAUUGCAGAGGAAAGUUGUCUCUUGGGUAAACAGUAGACAUUUUAUAGCUUCUUAUGAAAAUCACUUUUCCUUUCUAUAUUGUGGUUAUGGGAAAUUAAAAGAAUGUAAUGCAUAAAAUAAAUGCAGACUUUAUUUAAAUAACAUUAAAACAUGAAGCAGAGAGAAACAGUAAGAAAUUAAAUAUUUAGGCUAUUAUCUCUUGGUUGUCUGACAAUACUUGCCUUUAUUUUAAUUCCCCAUGAUAUUUUCAGUAAUGGAGAGGAUAUUAAAAUCUAACUUUAAACUUCUGGAUUGUUCACAUUACAUUCAACAGUACUUCAUUAAGUUUCUGAUAAUAUGUAGUCUUCUAUGUGCAAGGAAAGAAAUAAAUAACUCAUUUAUUUGCUGAAUGAGCUUUAAGGUUUGCAAGUUGUUAGUGGUUUUUUUUGCCCACACAGGAUUCUAUACAUUUAUUAACAUCUUAAAUCUGGCAUAUAUAUAUAUAUUUUUUUUUUUCAGAUAGCUUCUACUGACAAACACAAAGCUUGUUUGUGUGCAAAUAUAAGGCAAAUAAAUGGUGCUAAAGUGUAUUAUGACUGUCAGAUAUAAUCAGGCAAAAUUCUGUGGUGCUUAAUUUUUUCAUUGAUUUUAUUGAUCAAUGCAUCGAACAGUGUUUAUUAUUCACAAGUUGUCUUUUAUUAGUAAAUCAAGGCCUCACAGCACAUUGUUAAAUAAAAUGGUUGACUAGUCUAUGUAACAGCUCACCAAGCUACUAUCUCUUCAACUCCUUAUAAUGUUGCGUCAUUAAAGGUCAAGGGGUCAUGCUAUUAAUCUCAUCGCUGUAGACCAUUAACAUGACUGAACUUUUCCACGAAGUACUUAUGUUUACAAUGCUAUAACCCUUUGACUGCUGCGGCAACCUUUAACCACACAAAUGUCACAAGCUAGAAUCAUCAGCAUGGUUCUUGCCAUGGCAAUCAAAGAGUUAAGGGCUGUGCAGUGAUUUGUUUUGUAUUUAUUAAUUUAUAUUUAUUUUGUUUCCAUUCAAGGAGGGGACUUGGGGUGGGGCAGUUUUUGUCUGCUGUAAGUGUCUUAACCUAGGGACGGGUUAAAUGGCUUUUUAUACUAUUGCAUCUUCUGUAUUUACCAUCAAUUCAUUGUGUUGUAAUUAAAAAAACUGUCAAUAAAUAAGAGAAAAGAAAAACA
Non-coding RNA from Leptonychotes weddellii (Weddell seal), 1353 nucleotides. NCBI's taxonomy places the organism in Eukaryota, Metazoa, Chordata, Mammalia, Carnivora, Phocidae. The record is from RefSeq and is a predicted model, not a curated record.